This 274-nucleotide ribosomal RNA is filed under the name Aeromonas caviae. RNAcentral describes it as "partial 23S ribosomal RNA". It matches the Rfam family "Bacterial large subunit ribosomal RNA", at positions 2677 to 2925 of the family's 2925-position model. Lineage: Bacteria; Pseudomonadati; Pseudomonadota; Gammaproteobacteria; Aeromonadales; Aeromonadaceae. The record is from RNAcentral.
CCUAGUACGAGAGGACCGGAGUGAACGAACCUCUGGUGUUCGGGUUGUCACGCCAGUGGCACUGCCCGGUAGCUAAGUUCGGAAUCGAUAACCGCUGAAAGCAUCUAAGCGGGAAGCGAGCCCUGAGAUGAGUCAUCCCUGACCCCUUGAGGGUCCUAAAGGGCCGUUGGAGACCACAACGUUGAUAGGUGGGGUGUGUAAGCGUAGCGAUACGUUGAGCUAACCCAUACUAAUUACCCGUGAGGCUUAACCAUACAACACCCAAGAAGUGUUC